This 207-nucleotide ribosomal RNA is filed under the name uncultured bacterium. RNAcentral's name for it is "partial 16S ribosomal RNA". It matches the Rfam family "Bacterial small subunit ribosomal RNA", at positions 568 to 774 of the family's 1533-position model. The record is from RNAcentral.
UGCGUAGGCGGGCGCGUAAGUGUUCUGUGAAAUCCCCGGGCUCAACCCGGGAACCGCAGGGCAUACUGCGCGUCUCGAGGAAACUAGAGGCCGGUGGAACGAUCGGUGGAGCGGUGGAAUGCGUAGAGAUCGAUCGGAACGCCAAGGGUGAAGACGGCCGGCUGGGGUUUUCCUGACGCUGAGGCACGAAAGCGCGGGGAUCAAACA